ACUCAGUCUUUAGUAUAAUUAACAACACUAUGGCCAUCUCCCAAAAUAUUCAUUAAACAGUCAGGAACAAUAUGAAAUUCAAAUUAAAAUUGGAAAAGAGAUUAAAUAGAAGUAGUCAUCUCUAAAAGGAAUCAUACUACAUCUGAGAUGAAAUCAUUUGAGCAAUACAAAAUAUGGAAAUACAUUUUGUGUUACAUUUAAUUAUCAUUAAUUCCAGCACUGCAAGCUGGCAGCUAUUUUAGGCUCAUUACAACGACUAAAAUGGGCUAGAAUGUUAAUAUGAAUCUAUCCUCAUUGGAAUAAUGGGAAUAUGUGAAUAUGCUUCAAAGUUAAAGAAAGUUUAAGAGUCAAGUUGAGUUUCAGUUAGUUUCCUAAAUUUUUAAUUGGGGAUACACAUUAUAGAGAAACUGCUGAUAAUAUAUUGAUAACAAUACAAUAAACAAAAAAAGUCCAGUGACAUUUUCUUUCUGAUGAAAUUUUAAAAUAUAUACCCUAUUUUGUGGUUUCUUAAAAGCAAUUUUUGUUUUUGUGCUUUAGUGAAUUUAAACACAAACUUUAAACACACUAUUUCAACACAAAAUGUAAACACACUAAACACACAGUGUUUAGUGACUAUGAGUCAUAGUAUGAAAUGCCUCAAAGGAGGGAAUGCCUAUUGUUUUGUUUGAAGUAAGUAAGCACCCAAACUUGUGGGGAUAUGCUGUUAGAAUAUCUUAUAAAACUACAAGUUUUUAUGAUAUUUGGGACUUCCUGUUCCUGAUUUUUCUACUUGUCUGGCACACUAUUUCUUCAGAGGAUUAUUUAAAUAGAAGGAUUUGAGGCCUGCAUAUACAUGACGUCAGAUGUACAUUAAGUACCAGGAUAUUUCAUUCAUAGCCAGAGCUCAUUAGUUUAUAGUUAAAAUGAAAAAUUUUAAUGUGUGGAAAGAUACUAGUUUAACAUAUUUUGAAAAUUGAUAUAUGCUUAAUUCUUUUACCAGGGAUUGGGUUUUACACGCUGAAGGUGUUAGUAUGGUACUGACUAUUCGGUUCAUUAUGGGGAUGUGUUGUCAUAAUUUUCUAACAGAGCAAGAAUUUUAAAAUGUCCUUAUUUCACUUUCGCAAAAAACAAAAACAAAAACAAAAAAAA
This 1128-nucleotide long non-coding RNA is filed under the name Macaca fascicularis (crab-eating macaque). Its description in RNAcentral is "lncRNA (ENSMFAG00000053147.1)". Lineage: Eukaryota; Metazoa; Chordata; Mammalia; Primates; Cercopithecidae. The record is from RNAcentral.